GAUGAAGAACGUAGCGAAAUGCGAUAAGUAAUGUGAAUUGCAGAAUUCAGUGAAUCAUCGAAUCUUUGAACGCACAUUGCGCCCGUCAGUAUUCUGGCGGGCAUGCCUGUUCGAGCGUCAUUACGCCCCUCAAGUCCCCUGUGGACUUGGUGUUGGGGAUCGGCGAGGCUGGUUUUCCAGCACAGCCGUCCCUUAAAUUAAUUGGCGGUCUCGCCGUGGCCCUCCUCUGCGCAGUAGUAAAACACUCGCAACAGGAGCCCGGCGCGGUCCACUGCCGUAAAACCCCCCAGCUUUUUAUAGUUGACCUCGAAUCAGGGAGGACUACCCGCUGAACUUAAGCAUAUCAAUAAGCGGAGGA
Molecule: unclassified non-coding RNA, 358 nt
Filed under: soil metagenome
Description: partial contains 5.8S ribosomal RNA, internal transcribed spacer 2, and large subunit ribosomal RNA
Rfam family: 5.8S ribosomal RNA (bases 1-120)
Source: RNAcentral